Molecule: unclassified non-coding RNA, 605 nt
Filed under: Hevea brasiliensis (rubber tree)
Lineage: Eukaryota; Viridiplantae; Streptophyta; Magnoliopsida; Malpighiales; Euphorbiaceae
Source: RNAcentral
AUCAAAUUAAAAUCUAAAACCCAGGAAAUGGCAAUACUCAUCACAAAGGUACUGACAAAAGCCGAUAUAGAGAGUUGUUUAUCAUUCCCCACUUCUUCUAUAGGGCCAGUGCCGUUCCAAGAAGGCCAUUCCAUGGACAUGAACGUCCACGAUCAGAGCGGCCAAGAAUGGAUCUUCCCUUGCACAAUCCAGCGAAAUGACACCGUUGGGCGGGUCCUUUCAGUGGGCUGGGAGGAGUUUGCUCGUCGCAAGAAUCUUGCAGUAAAUGAUAAGGUUAUCUUUCUUGAGGAAACAAUAGAAAAUCAAGCUCCAGGAACCUGUAGGAUCAAAAUCCAAGUCAAGAGGAAAAUCAGGUUGUUUGGUAACGAUAUUUGGGCUGAUGUCUAAAGUAAUAAAAGUUUGUGCCUAUCCAAUAAUUGCUCUUGAGAAUGGAGUUUAGAGUCGUACUUUACUUGAUUUAGCUGUUAAAUAUGUAUCACUUAUUGUGUUAAAUUCGAGUUUCACUUUUUCAAUUCUCUAAAAAACAGAGCAUGUUCUAUACUAAACGAAUAUUUGUGGUUCUUUUUUUUUUAUAAGUGAAAAAUAUUAUUAAUGAUACGUGUGGU